UGGAGACCUGGAAAACAUUAACUAUUGGUAGCUCUCGAUGACCAGGGUUGGCUACCCCUGCCUUUAGAGAAUAUGAAAGCAAAGUUACAGGAUUUCCCCGAGCCGCUGAGAUGCACUGGAAACAAGUUGGAAUCUUACAAUGGGAUUUUGGGACAUCCUGGAUAAAUGCGCUGUCCUCUUUCUAAUUGUUGAAAAAAAGAAAUUGAUUUGUCAAAGUGUCUGACAUUUAGUUACAUACGGUAAUUAAAUAUUAAAUAAUAUUAUGUAAGGAAAGAGAAAGGCCCAUAGCUUAAACUGGGCUUACUGUAUUUUGUUAAAGUGUUAUAUAUUGUUUAGCUAACAAUGUAUACUGUAUAUUAUAUGUUCAUUAGUUUUCUGAUACCUUGUGGUGGAAAAAAUACACAUACUAUUUUGGAUUUUGGAGAUCAGAGAAUGGAAGGGUGUUAGGAAACAUAAUGAAGCAAAAAGUGAUUGGGUUGCAAACAACUCUCUAUCCAGUGUCACUUACACUUAUCCUAGAAAGGACACUAUGCAUAAUGGACACUAAUCUUAUUACCUAUGAAGACCCUCUACGUGCGCCAACUGGCUGCAAUGUGAACUUACAGUGAUUUCUUGAUAAACAACCUUUUUAUUUAAAUAA
Pseudophryne corroboree (corroboree frog) is the source of this 640-nucleotide long non-coding RNA. RefSeq lists it as uncharacterized. The record is from RefSeq and is a predicted model, not a curated record. The transcript is spliced from 2 exons. NCBI's taxonomy places the organism in Eukaryota, Metazoa, Chordata, Amphibia, Anura, Myobatrachidae.